UACGUAGGGUGCGAGCGCUAAUCGGAAUUACUGGGCGUAAAGCGUGCGCAGGCGGCUUUGCAAGACAGAUGUGAAAUCCCCGGGCUCAACCUGGGAACUGCAUUUGUGACUGCAAGGCUAGAGUACGGCAGAGGGGGAUGGAAUUCCGCGUGUAGCAGUGAAAUGCGUAGAUAUGCGGAGGAACACCAAUGGCGAAGGCAAUCCCCUGGGCCUGUACUGACGCUCAUGCACGAAAGCGUGGGGAGCAAACAGG
Molecule: ribosomal RNA, 253 nt
Filed under: uncultured bacterium
Lineage: Bacteria
Description: partial 16S ribosomal RNA
Rfam family: Bacterial small subunit ribosomal RNA
Source: RNAcentral